AUUGGUUAUUGUUAUUGGUAUGAGCUUUCGUGUGCAUGCACACUACUUCAGAUACCUAUUCAGAUAUCAUAUCUGAAGAGGUGUGCAUGCACAUGAAAGCUCAUACCAAUAACAAACUUAGUUGG
This 125-nucleotide microRNA precursor is filed under the name Podarcis lilfordi (Lilford's wall lizard). Lineage: Eukaryota; Metazoa; Chordata; Lepidosauria; Squamata; Lacertidae. The record is from RNAcentral.